Molecule: ribosomal RNA, 697 nt
Filed under: uncultured cyanobacterium
Lineage: Bacteria; Bacillati; Cyanobacteriota
Description: bacterial SSU rRNA
Rfam family: Bacterial small subunit ribosomal RNA
Source: RNAcentral
AGUCGAACGGAGUAGAAAUACUUGAGUGGCGGACGGGUGAGUAACGCGUGAGAAUCUGCCAAAAGGUUCGGGACAACCACUGGAAACGGUGGCUAAUACCGAAUGUGCCUUCGGGUGAAAGAUUUAUUGCCUUUUGAUGAGCUCGCGUCUGAUUAGCUAGUUGGUGGGGUAAAGGCUUACCAAGGCGGCGAUCAGUAACUGGUCUGAGAGGAUGACCAGUCACACUGGGACUGAGACACGGCCCAGACUCCUACGGGAGGCAGCAGUGGGGAAUUUUCCGCAAUGGGCGAAAGCCUGACGGAGCAAUACCGCGUGAGGGAGGAAGGCUCUUGGGUUGUAAACCUCUUUUCUCAGGGAAGAACACAAUGACGGUACCUGAGGAAUAAGCAUCGGCUAACUCCGUGCCAGCAGCCGCGGUAAUACGGAGGAUGCAAGCGUUAUCCGGAAUGAUUGGGCGUAAAGCGUUCGUAGGUGGUCCUUCAAGUCUGCUGUCGAAGCGCAGGGCUUAACUCUGUACAGGCGGUGGAAACUGAAGAGCUAGAGUGCGGUAGGGGUAGAGGGAAUUCCCGGUGUAGCGGUGAAAUGCGUAGAGAUCGGGAAGAACACCAGCAGCGAAAGCGCUCUACUGGGCCUGCACUGACACUGAGGGACGAAAGCUAGGGGAGCGAAUGGGAUUAGAUACCCCAGUAGUCCUAGC